CCUACGGGAGGCAGCAGUGGGGAAUAUUGGGCAAUGGGCGCAAGCCUGACCCAGCAACGCCGCGUGAAGGAAGAAGGCUUUCGGGUUGUAAACUUCUUUUCUCAGGGACGAAGCAAGUGACGGUACCUGAGGAAUAAGCCACGGUUAACUACGUGCCAGCAGCCGCGGUAAUACGUAGGUGGCAAGCGUUAUCCGGAUUUACUGGGUGUAAAGGGCGGGUAGGCGGGAAAGCAAGUCAGAUGUGAAAACCAUGGGCUCAACCUGUGGCCUGCAUUUGAAACUGUUUUUCUUGAGUACUGGAGAGGCAGAUAGAAUUCCUGGUGUAGCGGUGAAAUGCGUAGAUAUUAGGAGGAACACCGGUGGCGAAGGCGGUCCUCUGGACAAAGACUGACGCUGAGGCGCGAAAGCGUGGGGAGCAAACAGGAUUAGAUACCCGAGUAGUC
Molecule: ribosomal RNA, 443 nt
Filed under: uncultured bacterium
Lineage: Bacteria
Description: partial 16S ribosomal RNA
Rfam family: Bacterial small subunit ribosomal RNA
Source: RNAcentral